CCUACGGUAGUCAGCAGUGGGUAAUAUUGGGCAAUGGGCGCAAGCCUUACCCAGCCACGCCGCGUGAAGGAAGAAUGCUUUAGUGUUUUAAACUUCUUUUGUCAUUGACGAAGCAAGUGACGGUACCUGACGAAUAAUCCCCGGCUAACUACGUGCCAGCAGCCGCGGUAAUCCGGAGGUGGCAAGCGUUAUCCGGAUUUACUGGGUGUAAAGGGCGUGUAGGAGGGAAUGCAAGUCAGAUUGGAAAACCACGGGCUCCACCUGUGUCCUGCAUUUGAAUCUGGAGUUCUGGAGUACUGGAGAGGCAGACGGGAUUCCUAGUGGAGCGGUGAAAUGCGUAGAUAGUAGGAGGAACACCAGUGGCGAAGGCGGUCUGCUGGACAGCAACUGACGCUGAGGCGCGAAAGUGUGGGGAGCAAACAGGAUUAGAUACCCUAGUAGUC
This 443-nucleotide ribosomal RNA is filed under the name uncultured bacterium. RNAcentral describes it as "partial 16S ribosomal RNA". It matches the Rfam family "Bacterial small subunit ribosomal RNA", at positions 338 to 795 of the family's 1533-position model. The record is from RNAcentral.